UAUCUCAAUGCCAAGUUCACCAAACAGCCUUUUCCAUAUUUACACUCACUCUGAGGUAGGUGCUAUGUUAAGUGCUGAGACAUAGAUGAGUGAAGAAGGAAAAAACUCUGUCCUCACACCUGGUGGACAAGGCAGGCAUCCCCUCUGCUCCCUGGAGUGGAGGGGCUGAAGGAUGCUUUCCACUGGGCCUGGGAAAAUAUAAACACAUCUGGAAGGAGGUCGCUGCUGAGCAAACCAUGCUCCCCCCUGAGUACAGACAGGAUGAGGUGUCUAUAAAUAAUGUGAAGAGUGUGAAGAGAUUCUCUCCCCUGGGCUCCCUUUGCAAAAGGUUGAAGACCACUGGACCAGAAGUCAGAAGUGUGGAUACCGACCCCCCAACUAGGCCAUCUGUUGGCAAUCGAUGUCCGAGUCCAGUUUCACAACUGUAAAAUGAAGGCUAGUCUUCUGUUACAUGCCAGGCACAAAAGGUUUUUGGAAAGAAUAAAUUAAGUAAUGGAGCUAAAUGACCUGUAUUG
Molecule: long non-coding RNA, 515 nt
Filed under: Vulpes vulpes (red fox)
Lineage: Eukaryota; Metazoa; Chordata; Mammalia; Carnivora; Canidae
Description: lncRNA (ENSVVUG00000025288.1)
Source: RNAcentral